AACAAUAAAUAAAGAAGAAGACGGGAUCAUGCGCAUAACUGGUGUAAGGAGCUAAUCAAUGCAGCAGCAGAAGGCUAGAGCAUUUCAAAGUGGCAAACUGAGUAAAUAAAGUCUUUUAAUCUGAUCUGUUUCAUCCUUUCAGCCGGAUUAAUCAUCCAUCAUCACAGCCGGCGGAAAACUGUUAUCUACAGAAGACGCCCUUGUUUUGAAAGAUGGCGUUUGGAAAUACUUUCAUUCCUUAUUGUGGAAAUUACUUGUGAAUAAACUGCAUUUUUAAAGAAGACCCGAGGUGGUAUA
Long non-coding RNA from Thalassophryne amazonica, 297 nucleotides. RefSeq lists it as uncharacterized. The transcript is spliced from 3 exons. The record is from RefSeq and is a predicted model, not a curated record. NCBI's taxonomy places the organism in Eukaryota, Metazoa, Chordata, Actinopteri, Batrachoidiformes, Batrachoididae.